This 405-nucleotide ribosomal RNA is filed under the name uncultured bacterium. Its description in RNAcentral is "partial 16S ribosomal RNA". It matches the Rfam family "Bacterial small subunit ribosomal RNA", at positions 28 to 526 of the family's 1533-position model. The record is from RNAcentral.
GACGAACGCUGGCGGCGUGCCUAACACAUGCAAGUCGAGCGGAGCGGCGAACGGGUGAGUAACGCGUGAGUAACUGCCCCCCUCUCUGGGAUCACAGUUGGAAACGGCUGCUAAUACCGGAUAGUGGGGGAUGACUCGCGUCCUAUUAGCUUGUUGGCGGGGUAGUGGGCUACCAAGGCGACGACGGGUAGCCGGCCGGAGCGGGCGACCGGCCACAUGGGGCGGAGAUACGGCCCAAAGUCCGACGGGAGGCAGCAGGGGGGGAUAGUGAACAAAGGGCGAAAGCCUGAUGCAGCGACGCCGAGUGGGGGAUGAAGGCUUUCGGGUUGUAAACCUCUUUCGGUAUCGAAAGGGUAGGUGAAGAAGAAGCGCCGGCUAACUACGUGCCAGCAGCCGCGGUAAUUC